CAAUCACUCAUUAGCUAUUCCUAUUUACCUGUACAACAGAGAAUAGUAAAUGUUUGGGUUGCAUUAUGAAUGAAUAUAUAACUUAGUAAAAGUUAUAAACUUCCCUAAAACUGGUGGUUAGACAGGUUUCUGUGCUGGGGGAAGAAUUUCAGUUUGUAAACAGCUUUAACUAGUCUGGCAACAGCACUGGAAAUGACCCCCCAGCUGGGUAGAGCUUCUUUUAGUUACAAGUUAGAAAACCAGUUUAAUUUCUAAUUGUUCUACUAUGCAACCGAAGCUGUUAACAAUGCUAUCCCCCUAUGCAUGCCAACACAAAAUUAACUUUGUUGCCAAAUAGUGGUUUUACAGUACGGCGUGCCACGUAUUUUAAGAUAAACAAACUGUCACUAGUGCUAAAAAAUAUUUUUUAAAUAUGUUUUAUACUCAUUGCAAUUAUACUGGAUCCCAAAGUCAAGACUGUCUGGUGACCUCUGACUUUUCCGGGCCAAUUCCAGGUUUGGGUGGAAUGACAAGCCAUACUUGUCAGCGGAAGAGCUUUUAGCAUGGAAGGAAAAGCCAGAAUAAUUUUGGUAAUUAGUAUUUAAUCAAUUUCGUUGGGUAAGUAUAUUUGAAAAACCGGCUGGAAUCUAACACUUAUUUAAAUAUAUAUUUUACCUGUUAAAAUUACAUUAUUUAUUCUAUGAAUUGCUGAUUAUAAUCCACCAAAAUAUAUUGAAUGCAAUUUUUACACCUAUCCUACUGAUUAAAAAAAAUAAAUAGUUAAUCAUUUAUUGUAAAACAAAUGUAAUUCAGUUACAGCUAGGCUCAGAUCAUGAUAUUAUGUUUUCAUUUUAACAUUUCCUUGGUAAGUUAAUUUUAGUCAAGAACCACAUUUAAAUGUAAGCAAAUGAAAACUUUUGGCCUCACUUCUGAACCCACUUCAGCUUGGAAAGUUCCAUCUUCAUAGGUCAUUAUGAGUCCCUUCUGAACUGUAACAAAAAGUUCCAACCUUUACCAAGUUAGUUAGUUUCCACAUUAAACCCUUCACACCCAGUGAAACGUUUAUUUUAUGACCCUAAAGGUACACUAUCGAGAGAAGGGGAGAUAAGCAGCAGUACUGAAUCACUGUUUUUGUUACAGCUGUCUUUGUUCAUAUAUUGUGGGAGGAUUUUUAUCAAUAACCUUCCUGUGAAAAGACAAAGUAUGUGUGUGCUGGACAGCAGUUUAGCUCACUCCAUGGACACUGCAGGUGGCUAAGGGAACAGGAUCUCUAAUGUGGAAAUAAUAGAAACUGACACUUGUGCAUGCUGACCUCCGAUGGCUCACACACCAAGGAUUUCCUGCCAGAGAGAGAACUUCAUGGUUCUUUUUAUUACCACAAGUCAUCCAGGGCCUAAACCAGCAAGCAACCCCAGACCAUCACACUACCACCAUCAUGUUUGACUAUCGCCCAUCUUCCCUCCUCCUUCUCAGCUCCUCUCCUGGUUGCAGUUGUAUUUGUACGCCUUUGGAAGAUUACAAAGAGGUGCUUUGUGAAGGGAUGCAGCUGCUGAAAUUCAACUAGAUCCAGCUGAAGAGAGAAGGGAGCAGGACCAGUCCUUCAUGACCAGGUCACAUCAGAUCGGCCUGGCGGAUGAGGAUCACCGGGGGGCCGCAAGGUGCUGGUAGUGGGAACAUUGCCUCUGUUAUGAAAGACACCAUUGUCCCGUCUGCCUCGCCGACAUAGAAAAUGAAUAAAUCAAAGUGGAGAGAUCAAGAGUGGAGGAGAAGAGGGAAUGGCAAGAA
Molecule: long non-coding RNA, 1764 nt
Organism: Girardinichthys multiradiatus
Lineage: Eukaryota; Metazoa; Chordata; Actinopteri; Cyprinodontiformes; Goodeidae
Exons: 4
Source: RefSeq, a predicted model, not a curated record